This 301-nucleotide ribosomal RNA is filed under the name uncultured bacterium. Its description in RNAcentral is "partial 16S ribosomal RNA". It matches the Rfam family "Bacterial small subunit ribosomal RNA", at positions 509 to 809 of the family's 1533-position model. The record is from RNAcentral.
CAGCCGCCGCGGUAAAACGUAGGUGGCAAGCGUUGUCCGGAAUUAUUGGGCGUAAAGGGCUCGCAGGCGGUUUCUUAAGUCUGAUGUGAAAGCCCCCGGCUCAACCGGGGAGGGUCAUUGGAAACUGGGAAACUUCAGUGCAGAAGAGGAGAGUGGAAUUCCACGUGUAGCGGUGAAAUGCGUAGAGAUGUGGAGGAACACCAGUGGCGAAGGCGACUCUCUGGUCUGUAACUGACGCUGAGGAGCGAAAGCGUGGGGAGCGAACAGGAUUAGAUACCCGAGUAGUCCCUGUCUCUUAUAA